RNAcentral lists this ribosomal RNA (492 nucleotides) under uncultured bacterium. RNAcentral's name for it is "partial 16S ribosomal RNA". It matches the Rfam family "Bacterial small subunit ribosomal RNA", at positions 29 to 507 of the family's 1533-position model. The record is from RNAcentral.
AGUGAACGCUGGCGGUAGGCCUAACACAUGCAAGUCGAACGGCAGCACAGUAAGAGCUUGCUCUUACGGGUGGCGAGUGGCGGACGGGUGAGGAAUACAUAGGAAUCUACUUUUUCGUGGGGGAUAACGUAGGGAAACUUACGCUAAUACCGAAUACGAUCUACGGGUGAAAGCAGGGGAUCUUCGGACCUUGCGCGAUUGAAUGAGACGAUGUCGGAUUAGCUAGUUGGCGGGGUAAAGGCACACCAAGGCGACGAUCCGUAGCUGGUCUGAGAGGAUGAUCAGCCACACUGGAACUGAGACACGGUCCAGACUCCUACGGGAGGCAGCAGUGGGGAAUAUUGGACAAUGGGCGCAAGCCUGAUCCAGCCAUACCGCGUGAGUGAAGAAGGCCUUCGGGUUGUAAAGCCCUUUUGUUGGGAAAGAAAAGCAGCAGGUUAAUACCCCGCUGUUCUGACGGUACCCAAAGAAUAAGCACCGGCUAACUUCGUG